AGAGUUUGAUCCUGGCUCAGGACGAACGCUGGCGGCGUGCUUAACACAUGCAAGUCGAACGGAAAGGCCCUUCGGGGUACUCGAGUGGCGAACGGGUGAGUAACACGUGGGUGAUCUGCCCUGCACUCUGGGAUAAGCCUGGGAAACUGGGUCUAAUACCGGAUAGGACCACACACUUCAUGGUGAGUGGUGCAAAGCUUUUGCGGUGUGGGAUGAGCCCGCGGCCUAUCAGCUUGUUGGAGGGGUAAUGGCCCACCAAGGCGACGACGGGUAGCCGGCCUGAGAGGGUGACCGGCCACACUGGGACUGAGAUACGGCCCAGACUCCUACGGGAGGCAGCAGUGGGGAAUAUUGCACAAUGGGCGCAAGCCUGAUGCAGCGACGCCGCGUGAGGGAUGACGGCCUUCGGGUUGUAAACCUCUUUCAGUAGGGACGAAGCGAAAGUGACGGUACCUACAGAAGAAGGACCGGCCAACUACGUGCCAGCAGCCGCGGUAGUACGUAGGGUCCGAGCGUUGUCCGGAAUUACUGGGCGUAAAGAGCUCGUAGGUGGUUUGUCGCGUUGUUCGUGAAAACUCACAGCUUAACUGUGGGCGUGCGGGCGAUACGGGCAGACUAGAGUACUGCAGGGGAGACUGGAAUUCCUGGUGUAGCGGUGGAAUGCGCAGAUAUCAGGAGGAACACCGGUGGCGAAGGCGGGUCUCUGGGCAGUAACUGACGCUGAGGAGCGAAAGCGUGGGUAGCGAACAGGAUUAGAUACCCUGGUAGUCC
This 771-nucleotide ribosomal RNA is filed under the name uncultured bacterium. Its description in RNAcentral is "bacterial SSU rRNA". It matches the Rfam family "Bacterial small subunit ribosomal RNA", at positions 8 to 796 of the family's 1533-position model. The record is from RNAcentral.